GGCCCCGUAGCUCAGCUUGGAAAGAGCGGCGGUCCUUAUGAGCCGUAGGUCCCGGGUUCAAAUCCCGGCGGGGCCGCCA
This 79-nucleotide transfer RNA is filed under the name Thermoprotei archaeon ex4572_64. Its description in RNAcentral is "tRNA-Ile". It matches the Rfam family "tRNA". Rfam says of the family: Transfer RNA (tRNA) molecules are approximately 80 nucleotides in length. The record is from RNAcentral. Lineage: Archaea; Thermoproteati; Thermoproteota; Thermoprotei.